Molecule: ribosomal RNA, 207 nt
Filed under: uncultured bacterium
Lineage: Bacteria
Description: partial 16S ribosomal RNA
Rfam family: Bacterial small subunit ribosomal RNA
Source: RNAcentral
CGCGUAGGCGGCUUCACAAGUCGGGGGUGAAAUCCUGUGGCUCAACCAUAGGCCUGCCCUCGAAACUAUGAAGCUUGAGGCCGUGAGAGGAAAGCGGAAUUCCUGGUGUAUCGGUGAAAUGAGUUGAUAUCAGGAGGAACACCGGUGGCGAAGGCGGCUUUCUGGUGCGGUUCUGACGCUGAGGUGCGAAAGCAUGGGGAGCAAACG